This 209-nucleotide long non-coding RNA is filed under the name Lotus japonicus. Its description in RNAcentral is "long non-coding RNA (LJAP_LNC001265)". The record is from RNAcentral. Lineage: Eukaryota; Viridiplantae; Streptophyta; Magnoliopsida; Fabales; Fabaceae.
UCCAUUUCUGUGUAAAUCUAUAUUACUCACUUUCUAUGUAAAACUUGGGCUGUUAAAAUUGGUGUUCUCCUCACUUUUUCUUAAUUUGAUUUUGCAGCUUUCACUUUCCCUCCCGUUUCGACCGAGAGAUAUUGUGAAUGAGUAGAUGAAUUUUGCCUAUUUUGAUCUUUAAUAAACUGAUAUUGCCUGUUUGGGAUUAUGAUGUGUGG